This 238-nucleotide long non-coding RNA is filed under the name Gossypium barbadense (sea-island cotton). RNAcentral's name for it is "long non-coding RNA (GBAR_LNC020225)". Lineage: Eukaryota; Viridiplantae; Streptophyta; Magnoliopsida; Malvales; Malvaceae. The record is from RNAcentral.
UCGUCGUCGGCCCUUCGCCGUCGUCGGACGCGAGUUUAGGAAGGGGCAGAGGCUUUCCGUUUUCCCCUCGUUUCACCGUUUCGGAGCCUUGGUCUCUGAACGCGCUCCAAAGAGCUGGUGGGAGACGCCCUCGCAUGGCUCCGGCCACCGGGCGGUAGGGAGGCGUGACGGUGGCAGGGCUUCUAGCCUUGGAACCCUAGCAGAAAAGGGAUUCUCCCUUUUAUUUUUUGUUUUUUUU